This 242-nucleotide ribosomal RNA is filed under the name uncultured bacterium. RNAcentral's name for it is "partial 16S ribosomal RNA". It matches the Rfam family "Bacterial small subunit ribosomal RNA", at positions 113 to 354 of the family's 1533-position model. The record is from RNAcentral.
CAACGUGAGCAACCUGCCUUUCAGGAGGGGAUAACAGUUGGAACGACUGCUAAUACCGCAUAACGCUGCGAUGGGGCAUCCCGAUGCAGCCAAAGGAGCAAUCCGCUGGAAGAUGGGCUCGCGGCCGAUUAGCUAGUUGGUGGGGCAACGGCCCACCAAGGCGACGAUCGGUAGCCGGACUGAGAGGUUGAUCGGCCACAUUGGGACUGAGACACGGCCCAGACUCCUACGGGAGGCAGCAG